AGUUUGAUCCUGGCUCAGGAUGAACGCUAGCUACAGGCUUAACACAUGCAAGUCGAGGGGCAGCAUGGUCUUAGCUUGCUAAGGCCGAUGGCGACCGGCGCACGGGUGAGUAACACGUAUCCAACCUGCCGUCUACUCUUGGACAGCCUUCUGAAAGGAAGAUUAAUACAAGAUGGCAUCAUGAGUCCGCAUGUUCACAUGAUUAAAGGUAUUCCGGUAGACGAUGGGGAUGCGUUCCAUUAGAUAGUAGGCGGGGUAACGGCCCACCUAGUCUUCGAUGGAUAGGGGUUCUGAGAGGAAGGUCCCCCACAUUGGAACUGAGACACGGUCCAAACUCCUACGGGAGGCAGCAGUGAGGAAUAUUGGUCAAUGGGCGAGAGCCUGAACCAGCCAAGUAGCGUGAAGGAUGACUGCCCUAUGGGUUGUAAACUUCUUUUAUAAAGGAAUAAAGCCGGGUAUGGAUACCCGUUUGCAUGUACUUUAUGAAUAAGGAUCGGCUAACUCCGUGCCAGCAGCCGCGGUAAUACGGAGGAUCCGAGCGUUAUCCGGAUUUAUUGGGUUUAAAGGGAGCGUAGAUGGAUAUUUAAGUCAGUUGUGAAAGUUUGCGGCUCAACCGUAAAAUUGCAGUUGAUACUGGAUAUCUUGAGUGCAGUUGAGGCAGGCGGAAUUCGUGGUGUAGCGGUGAAAUGCUUAGAUAUCACGAAGAACUCCGAUUGCGAAGGCAGCCUGCUAAGCUGCAACUGACAUUGAGGCUCGAAAGUGUGGGUAUCAAACAGGAUUAGAUACCCUGGUAGUCCACGCGGUAAACGAUGAAUACUCGCUGUUUGCGAUAUACUGCAAGCGGCCAAGCGAAAGCGUUAAGUAUUCCACCUGGGGAGUACGCCGGCAACGGUGAAACUCAAAGGAAUUGACGGGGGCCCGCACAAGCGGAGGAACAUGUGGUUUAAUUCGAUGAUACGCGAGGAACCUUACCCGGGCUUAAAUUGCAGAUGAAUUACGGUGAAAGCCGUAAGCCGCAAGGCAUCUGUGAAGGUGCUGCAUGGUUGUCGUCAGCUCGUGCCGUGAGGUGUCGGCUUAAGUGCCAUAACGAGCGCAACCCUUGUUGUCAGUUACUAACAGGUUUUGCUGAGGACUCUGACAAGACUGCCAUCGUAAGAUGUGAGGAAGGUGGA
RNAcentral lists this ribosomal RNA (1172 nucleotides) under uncultured Bacteroides sp. RNAcentral's name for it is "bacterial SSU rRNA". It matches the Rfam family "Bacterial small subunit ribosomal RNA", at positions 10 to 1177 of the family's 1533-position model. Lineage: Bacteria; Pseudomonadati; Bacteroidota; Bacteroidia; Bacteroidales; Bacteroidaceae. The record is from RNAcentral.